Molecule: unclassified non-coding RNA, 379 nt
Filed under: soil metagenome
Description: partial contains 5.8S ribosomal RNA, internal transcribed spacer 2, and large subunit ribosomal RNA
Rfam family: 5.8S ribosomal RNA (bases 1-120)
Source: RNAcentral
GAUGAAGAACGCAGCGAAAUGCGAUAAGUAGUGUGAAUUGCAGAAUUCAGUGAAUCAUCGAAUCUUUGAACGCACCUUGCGCUCCUUGGUAUUCUGAGGAGCAUGCCUGUUUGAGUAUCAUAAAAUUGUCAACUGUGUCACUUUUAUAGUGAUUUACAGAUUGGAUAUGGGAGUUUUUGCAGGCCUAGUUUGUCAGCUCUCCUGAAACACAUUAGCAGUGCCUUGUUGGUCCUUGGGUGUGAUAAUUUAUCUAUGCCUUGACGUGUACCUUCAUGAAGGUUGUGCUGCUUCCAAUGGUCUUUGGACACAUUUAUUGAAGAUUUGAUCUCAAAUCAGGCAGGACUACCCGCUGAACUUAAGCAUAUCAAUAAGCGGAGGA